CGGCCGCGCCGGCUUCCAUCCAAGGCUGCCCGCGCGCCCGGCUCCCUUUCCUUGCACGACGCCAGAUGGAUAUUCUACGCGGCAAUCUCGGCGCUCGCCCUCCCCCGCGGGGCAAUCUCGGUGUCCCGCACGGCAAUCUCGGCCCCGCCAUCCUCGCCCCCCAAUUGCUCGAUCAGGCAUAGAUGGAAAUCCUUGGCGCAUCCGCCCCCUCGCAUCCCCCACGCAUGUGCCUGCUCCCAUCCCCCCGACCUCGCGAGAUAGUCGCCUCGGCCCUCCUCGCAGACACCCUCUUUGAGUUCCAGGCUUCCAAGGUCCAACCUUCUCCUCUCUGAGGCCGUAGCAUUUGUUUGGUUAGAUUGGGUUGUUCCGUUUGGGUAGCCGGUGGGAUCGAAAUCUGUGCAGCACCCAUGGCGGUAGUCGAGGGGAUGAAGAAGGAAAUCAUCAACACCGACCCCGGAAUUGAUGACACGAUGGCCAUCUUCCUGGCGCUGCGGUCGCCGGAGCUGGAGGUGCUGGGCCUCACCACUACCUUCGGCAACGUCCACACCGCCCUCGCCACGCGCAACGCGCUCCACCUGGUGCCGCCGCCUACCUUCCUUCCUCUCUCUCCCCCCACCCUGCUGGUCUGUUCCACCCACUCCGACCGCGGCUCACAUUUGCUUCUGAUGUGUGUGCUUGAGCUGGAGGCUGUUGGCAGGACUGACAUCCCUGUGGCAGAGGGAUCCCAUCCAACGAUCAAGGUAGCUAUCAGCGUCUCUUUGUUUAUGCUACCACGCUGAAUCGAUGUUCAAUUGUCAACGUUGCAGCGCCCUCAUCAAACACAGAGAAAAAAAUCAAAGAAUCGCAGUGAUCUAGCAAAGCCGCAAACAGUUGAGAUUGAGGGAACGCCAUCGAGAGGAUCAUACUUCUUGCGUGUUCAUCAGCAGCUUUCACAAGGCUGUUUUGUUCGUUCAUUUACUCUGUCAUCUGAAUUGCUGUUUCUUUUUCAUUUUCCCCUCGAGCACAGAAAGCCACCAAGCUGAGGAUCGCAAGCUUUGUCCACGGUUCAGACGGCCUGAGGAUCACAAGCUUCGUCCACGGUUCAGACGGCCACUGCGGAUCGAGGUGCGGCAGGUCGGGGCGCCGCCGCGGAUUGUAGGCUCGGCCGGGACUACUUCGUCACCAACGUCCUCGUAUGCUUCAAUGUUAAACAUUGUCACAGGUUCUCAUAUAUGGGUGGAAGAUAAAGAUUUGUCCAGGGUUGAUGGUGAGGUAUUUCGAAUUGAUGGCCAAAACGCCCAUGUUCGCACAACCAAGGGGAAGGCGAGUUUCUCGCACAACCAAUGUUGUUAACUGAAUAGUUAAACUGAAUAAAAGGUAUGAUGUUUCACAUUUUUAAUUUUAAAAAUUAUUUCUAUUAUUAUAGGCUAGAGGUUACCUCUACUGAAGGAGAUGACAGGUGUCUAUUAUUAUAGCAGUAAAUCAUCUUUGUUGCUCCUACUACACCCGUUUUGAGCUAGAAAUUUCGUACUUAAUCACCAUUACAAUAUGACAGGUGUUCACUACGGUUAUACUUGCAUUCACUUUGCAACCAAUACCGUCUCAGUUAUUUUUAAAAUGGUCUUUGACUAAUUCCUUCAAUGUACUACUGAUCUACUGCAUCCCUGUUAACCAAUACCAUCAGUCUUUAUUAAUUUGACUUUGCCUAGAAACAACAUAUGUGUAAGAUAUGCACAAAAGCACUUAUUGAGUUGAGUGGUAAUAUAUACGGCCAACUCCAAGGGAAUUUGAUUUUAUUACUCAACGUUUAUGCCUUUCAUUUACUACCUUCAUUCUUUUUUUUCCAGAAGUGUUUAGUGCAUCAACAUUGUUUUCAGUAAAUGUCUUUGAUUGUUGCCUUUUAUUGCUAUAUGUCGGGCCGUUUUGUUGCGUUGUUGUGCACGCGGUUGUAGGGAGGGCGUAUUGUGGCGGCUACGAGGGACCGAUGUUCCUGUGUGGCGGUGACAACGACACCGUGGAGCCAAGGCAAUGUCAGCAAGCUGAUUUUUCAGAUUGGAAUCUAUGGUUCUUUUUAAAGAUCGAAUAUGUUCUAUCAUCUUAAAAAGAUUUGUCAGAAUGUAAACAUUUGUUCUGAGGUCAUUUAGGCCUCAAACAGAAUUUCUUGGACUUAUUUUGUUGGAGGGAAUGGGACAUCUCGAGAUCUAAAUGUGUAUAAAAGAUCCAAAUGUGUAUAGAACAUAUAUUUUUAUGGGUAUCAAACAUGAUUGUGUGCAAAGCACGGACAUGGUACUAUAACAAUGAAACACAUAUUUGUACAUAAUUCAUCAUGGUAUUAUAUGUU
Zea mays is the source of this 2320-nucleotide RNA transcript. It is a transcript of the gene named probable uridine nucleosidase 2, with no coding region annotated. The transcript is spliced from 4 exons. Lineage: Eukaryota; Viridiplantae; Streptophyta; Magnoliopsida; Poales; Poaceae. The record is from RefSeq and is a predicted model, not a curated record.